UGUGGCCGGUGGCCGGCGCCGCCGAGGCCAUCCCACCGGCUGAGCGGCAGAGUUGCGUUGCGAUGGCUUUGAUGAGGUGGAUGUGGAAUACGAGGGAGAUCUGGCAGCGGCAAAUGAGAGACACGGCCAUAAUACCAGCAAGAAGAGGAGAAGAUAACUGAGAUAAGAAACAGCACCAGUCAGUACCUGUUGCUGCUGCUACUGACUAGCCCUUGGAGAUGAGGCGUGGGCACAUCACCCACCUGAAGUACUACAUGCUCGGCGCGUUCGGGCACUACGUCAAUCUCAGCCGACCACCGAGAGACUGAUUUAAGAUCACCAGGAAGGAAUAGUCAAGGUGCAUUAAAGAGGUUCCAGAUCUCUAAUAUCAUCAAAUAGCAACUUCAGGUUAGUUAAAAUUUUCGAUUUGCACAUGUCAUGACAGGCUGCAACAACUGAAUUUUGUGUUCACAAAGUAUCACCACAUCAAUGAUUGGCAUUUCUUAGAUUUAGUGCUUAUGUGAGAACUUUUAGUGUGCCACCCUAACUAAUGAUCUCAGAUGGGAAUGUGUUGUCGACCUAGCAUGUCAUUUCCAGACCACAAUUAUUUGGGCAGUGGAAAGAACAAGAUUCACAGGAACACAAUUGCCCUGCUACAUUCAAGAUCGCCAGGAAAGAAUAAUUGUAAGGACGCACAUACCACCACUUAUACAAGUUGGAUUUUAUAGUUGUCGACAUGAGGUAUCCCUCGAAAAUUUAAACAAUUUGUUUACUCGCCCUCUGUUAUAGACCAUUUGAAUUGUUGGAACCAAUAUGUAGCCUCCUUUCCCCAACAAAUAUAUUGUUACCUCAUUAUCUCCAUUUGUUGUAAUUGAACUUCACACAUGACAGUCUUCCUUCCACCAUUAUAAUGCUACACUUCCAUAAGUACUUAACCUUAUUCUCAUUCAGGUAUGCACAGAUCAAAAAAUGUUUACUCCAUCUUUGUAAGCUACUGAAAAUUAGAGCUGAUAACAAUCUGGUAAAGGAUUAAUGACAACUGGUUCUGCCACCACAAGAUAACAUGGAAUACAGGUCCACCUGAUUUCUGGAUUAUAUCUAUCCUGAUUUGUUUUUCUUUUCAUGUUUCAGUUAACAGACUGCAAUCCCGAUGGUUGCAUUUUAGUACUUCAACAUUGUUUUGGAUGAAGUGCUGCUGAGUGUAGAGGUGGCAAAAAGAUAGUUUACACACUAUUUUCAAAUAUUGUAUGGAUAGAAUGUACUUCAGCACCUGGUUCUGGGAAGCACUGAGGACAUUAUGAUGUUUCCUUGAAACAUUGUCAAAUGAACUUGAUCUAUCCAGAGCUAUAAACUUGAUCUAUCCCGAGCUAUGUUACAGGUCUAGGGAGAGGUAGGAAAGGCUCCUUCCACUCAGGUGGUCAGGUCUGUAUAGGCUGGUGUCUAGGUUCAUUCAUCGCCAUCAACAAUACAGACAAGACAAAUUUUGGGUGCUCCAUGAUGUUGAGUACUCCGAGGUGGCUACCCCAUUAUGGAUAUCAAGAGAAUGCUUGCAAAUUUUUUUGUUGACUCUCACCGCAACAGAAGGGUAUGUUGGCUUACUUCUGGAUCAAGGACAACAAAAGUUGCACGGAAAAUAGGAGCUGGUUAUUUGAGCUCCAUCGCGGGAGCAAGACUUUGCUCAAGGAAUUAACCUGUCUAUAGAUGUCAACUGCAAGUAUUUGAUGCUUAACUUAGCUACAGCAGUUGAUGCAGUCAUGGAUAGAGGCUUACGUCAGAUGUAGAUAGUGCUAUGCUUCUGCCAGCCGGUAGUACUUUGUGGCACUUCCAGUGUUUUAUUUUCUGUUGUCUAUGUUCUUAAUUGCGGAAGACUAUUUCUAUAAUUACCUACUUUUGGUUCGAUUGGUUUACUCAGCAUUAAUCUACAGCUCCAUGUGAUGCUAUCUUUUCUUA
Molecule: long non-coding RNA, 1929 nt
Organism: Lolium perenne
Lineage: Eukaryota; Viridiplantae; Streptophyta; Magnoliopsida; Poales; Poaceae
Source: RefSeq, a predicted model, not a curated record